RNAcentral lists this ribosomal RNA (1272 nucleotides) under uncultured Acinetobacter sp. Its description in RNAcentral is "bacterial SSU rRNA". It matches the Rfam family "Bacterial small subunit ribosomal RNA", at positions 143 to 1407 of the family's 1533-position model. Lineage: Bacteria; Pseudomonadati; Pseudomonadota; Gammaproteobacteria; Moraxellales; Moraxellaceae. The record is from RNAcentral.
ACAACAUUCCGAAAGGAAUGCUAAUACCGCAUACGCCCUACGGGGGAAAGCAGGGGAUCUUCGGACCUUGCGCUAAUAGAUGAGCCUAAGUCGGAUUAGCUAGUUGGUGGGGUAAAGGCCUACCAAGGCGACGAUCUGUAGCGGGUCUGAGAGGAUGAUCCGCCACACUGGGACUGAGACACGGCCCAGACUCCUACGGGAGGCAGCAGUGGGGAAUAUUGGACAAUGGGCGGAAGCCUGAUCCAGCCAUGCCGCGUGUGUGAAGAAGGCCUUUUGGUUGUAAAGCACUUUAAGCGAGGAGGAGGCUCCUUUAGUUAAUACCUAAAGAGAGUGGACGUUACUCGCAGAAUAAGCACCGGCUAACUCUGUGCCAGCAGCCGCGGUAAUACAGAGGGUGCGAGCGUUAAUCGGAUUUACUGGGCGUAAAGCGUGCGUAGGCGGCUUUUUAAGUCGGAUGUGAAAUCCCUGAGCUUAACUUAGGAAUUGCAUUCGAUACUGGGGAGCUAGAGUAUGGGAGAGGAUGGUAGAAUUCCAGGUGUAGCGGUGAAAUGCGUAGAGAUCUGGNAGGAAUACCGAUGGCGAAGGCAGCCAUCUGGCCUAAUACUGACGCUGAGGUACGAAAGCAUGGGGAGCAAACAGGAUUAGAUACCCUGGUAGUCCAUGCCGUAAACGAUGUCUACUAGCCGUUGGGGCCUUUGAGGCUUUAGUGGCGCAGCUAACGCGAUAAGUAGACCGCCUGGGGANGUACGGUCGCAAGACUAAAACUCAAAUGAAUUGACGGGGGCCCGCACAAGCGGUGGAGCAUGUGGUUUAAUUCGAUGCAACGCGAAGAACCUUACCUGGCCUUGACAUACUAAGAACUUUCCAGAGAUGGAUUGGUGCCUUCGGGAACUUAGAUACAGGUGCUGCAUGGCUGUCGUCAGCUCGUGUCGUGAGAUGUUGGGUUAAGUCCCGCAACGAGCGCAACCCUUUUCCUUAUUUGCCAUCGGGUAAUGCCGGGAACUUUAAGGAUACUGCCAGUGACAAACUGGAGGAAGGCGGGGACGACGUCAAGUCAUCAUGGCCCUUACGGCCAGGGCUACACACGUGCUACAAUGGUCGGUACAAAGGGUUGCUACCUCGCGAGAGGAUGCUAAUCUCAAAAAGCCGAUCGUAGUCCGGAUCGCAGUCUGCAACUCGACUGCGUGAAGUCGGAAUCGCUAGUAAUCGCGGAUCAGAAUGCCGCGGUGAAUACGUUCCCGGGCCUUGUACACACCGCCCGUCACACCAUGG